Molecule: ribosomal RNA, 410 nt
Filed under: uncultured rumen bacterium
Lineage: Bacteria
Description: bacterial SSU rRNA
Rfam family: Bacterial small subunit ribosomal RNA
Source: RNAcentral
CAGCAGCCGCGGUAAUACAGAGGGUGCAAGCGUUGUUCGGAAUUACUGGGCGUAAAGCGUGCGUAGUCGGUAUUGAGAGUCGCGGGUGAAAUCCCAGGGCUUAACCCUGGAACUGCUUGCGAGACCUCAGUACUAGAGUGUGAGAGGGGAUAGUGGAAUACCCAGUGUAGCGGUGAAAUGCGUAGAGAUUGGGUGGAACACCGGUGGCGAAGGCGGCUAUCUGGCUCACAACUGACGAUCAGGCACGAAAGCGUGGGGAGCAAACAGGAUUAGAUACCCUGGUAGUCCACGCUGUAAACUAUGCAUACAAGCUGUAGUGGGAUUUUACUCUCUGCUGUGGCGAAGCUAACGCAAUUAGUAUGCCGCCUGGGGAGUACGGUCGCAAGACUAAAACUCAAAGAAAUUGACGG